This 247-nucleotide long non-coding RNA is filed under the name Cicer arietinum (chickpea). RNAcentral describes it as "long non-coding RNA (CARI_LNC001614)". Lineage: Eukaryota; Viridiplantae; Streptophyta; Magnoliopsida; Fabales; Fabaceae. The record is from RNAcentral.
UCGUCGAUCACUGUUACACUAUCGUUGCCUUCUCCUUUGUUGUCAUACACAGAUCCACAUCUCUCACAUUUUUUUUCGUUCUCUAUCUCUUUAAUAUUGUGUUUCAUUUUGUUGUUUGUUGGCUGACAUAUUUGAUUUCACUCCUAAUAAUGAUACCUUGUAUUUGUUGGUUGCUUGUUGAAGUUUGAUCUCGCACUUAAAAAAUAUACCUUUUUAUUCGUUUAAAGUUGAGAGGUUUAUUGUUAAG